CUCGUAGGCGGCUUGUCGCGUCUGCUGUGAAAUCCCGGAGCUCAACUCCGGGCCUGCAGUGGGUACGGGCAAGCUAGAGUGCGGUAGGGGAGAUUGGAAUUCCUGGUGUAGCGGUGGAAUGCGCAGAUAUCAGGAGGAACACCGAUGGCGAAGGCAGAUCUCUGGGCCGCUACUGACGCUGAGGAGCGAAAGCAUGGGGAGCGAACA
This 207-nucleotide ribosomal RNA is filed under the name uncultured bacterium. RNAcentral describes it as "partial 16S ribosomal RNA". It matches the Rfam family "Bacterial small subunit ribosomal RNA", at positions 568 to 774 of the family's 1533-position model. The record is from RNAcentral.